CAGACUUUCAGAGAUGGAUUGGUGCCUUCGGGAACUCUGACACAGGUGCUGCAUGGCUGUCGUCAGCUCGUGUUGUGAAAUGUUGGGUUAAGUCCCGCAACGAGCGCAACCCUUGUCCUUUGUUGCCAGCGGUCCGGGCGGGAACUCCAAGGAGACUGGCCGUGAUAAACUGGAGGAAGGGGGGGAUGACGUCAAGUCAUCAUGGGCCUUACCAGUAGGGCUACACACGUGCUACAAUGGCGCAUACAAAGAGAAGCGAACUCGCGAGAGCAAGCGGACCUCAUAAAGUGCGUCGUAGUCCGGAUUGGAGUCUGCAACUCGACUCCAUGAAGUCGGAAUCGCUAGUAAUCGUAGAUCAGAAUGCUACGGUGAAUACGUUCCCGGGUCUUGUACACACCGAGAA
RNAcentral lists this ribosomal RNA (403 nucleotides) under Enterobacter sp. COS234. Its description in RNAcentral is "bacterial SSU rRNA". It matches the Rfam family "Bacterial small subunit ribosomal RNA", at positions 991 to 1396 of the family's 1533-position model. The record is from RNAcentral. Lineage: Bacteria; Pseudomonadati; Pseudomonadota; Gammaproteobacteria; Enterobacterales; Enterobacteriaceae.